RNAcentral lists this long non-coding RNA (206 nucleotides) under Hordeum vulgare. RNAcentral's name for it is "long non-coding RNA (HVUL_LNC014865)". Lineage: Eukaryota; Viridiplantae; Streptophyta; Magnoliopsida; Poales; Poaceae. The record is from RNAcentral.
AGAAAAAAUCAGGGCAUCCACGAAAACACUUUUCCGCCGUCGCAAGCUUCCGUUUCCGCGAGAUCUCAUCUGGAGACCCUUCCUGGUGCCCUGUCGGAGGGGACUUUGGAGUUGGAGGGCUUCUACAUCAACAUCAUCGCCUCUCCAAUGACUCGUGAGUAGUCCACUUCAGACCUACGUGUCUGUAGUUAGUAGCUAGAUGGCUU